GACGAACCGUGCGAACGUUGUUCGGAAUCACUGGGCUUAAAGGGCGCGUAGGCGGGCGAUCAAGUCAGGGGUGAAAUCCGUCGGCUUAACCGGCGAAGAGCUUUUGAUACUGGUCGUCUCGAGGGAGGUAGGGGCAUACGGAACUUCCGGUGGAGCGGUGAAAUGCGUAGAGAUCGGAAGGAACACCAGUGGCGAAGGCGGUUGCCUGGAGCUUUGCUGACGCUGAUGCGCGAAAGCGUGGGGAGCGAUCCGG
RNAcentral lists this ribosomal RNA (253 nucleotides) under uncultured bacterium. RNAcentral's name for it is "partial 16S ribosomal RNA". It matches the Rfam family "Bacterial small subunit ribosomal RNA", at positions 524 to 776 of the family's 1533-position model. The record is from RNAcentral.